RNAcentral lists this ribosomal RNA (459 nucleotides) under uncultured bacterium. RNAcentral describes it as "partial 16S ribosomal RNA". It matches the Rfam family "Bacterial small subunit ribosomal RNA", at positions 338 to 795 of the family's 1533-position model. The record is from RNAcentral.
CCUACGGGGGGCAGCAGUGAGGAAUAUUGGUCAAUGGGCGGAAGCCUGAACCAGCCAAGCCGCGUGCGGGACGAAGGCGCUACGGAUUGUAAACUGCUUUUGUACGGGGAUAACAUCAGCCACGUGUGCCUGUCUGAAGGUACCGUGCGAAUAAGGAUCGGCUAACUCCGUGCCAGCAGCCGCGGUAAUACGGAGGAAUCGAGCGUUAUCCGGAUUUAUUGGGUUUAAAGGGAGCGUAGGCGGACGUUUAAGUCAGCGGUAAAAGCCCGGGGCUCAACCGCGGAGAGCCGUUGAAACUGGACGCCUUGAGAGGACAAGAGGUAGGCGGAAUGCGUGGUGUAGCGGUGAAAUGCUUAGAUAUCACGCAGAACCCCGAUUGCGAAGGCAGCAUACCGGGGGACGUCUGACGCUGAGGCUCGAAAGUGCGGGUAUCAAACAGGAUUAGAUACCCUUGUAGUC